GUCUAAGUACAUGCCGUAUUUAGGCGUAACUGCAAAUAUUUCGUAAAAUCAGUUAUGGUUCCUUGAAUCGUACCUUACUACUGGGAUAACUAUGGCAGUUCUAGAAUUAAUACAAGCAGCAGAGCUGUGACCCUCUGAGGACGAGAGCUUAUAUUAAACCAAAACUGACCUCGUGUUCAUAUUAUAUGGUCACUUUAUAUAAACUUGAGCUGAUAGCACGGUCUCCUACUGGCGACUUAUCCCUUUAAGUGACUGCCGUAUCCAUUGUUGAUAUUUGAUUACGCAAUUACCAUGGUCGCAGCGCGUGACGUUCAGUAGAGAUCUUUGGAG
RNAcentral lists this non-coding RNA (330 nucleotides) under Stegodyphus mimosarum. Its description in RNAcentral is "eukaryotic small subunit ribosomal RNA". It matches the Rfam family "Eukaryotic small subunit ribosomal RNA", at positions 57 to 388 of the family's 1831-position model. The record is from Rfam by way of RNAcentral. Lineage: Eukaryota; Metazoa; Arthropoda; Arachnida; Araneae; Eresidae.